CUGGGCUCGAACGGCUCACGACAGUCCUGGAAACAGGAUCUCUAUGGAGCUUGCUCUAUGGCGUGAGUCGAGGUGCUGCAUGGCUGUCGUCAGCUCGUGCCGUGAGGUGUUCGGUUAAGUCCGGCAACGAGCGCAACCCCUGCCCUUAGUUGCCAGCGGGUCAUGCCGGGGACUCUAAGGGGACUGCCCUGGUUAACGGGGAGGAAGGUGGGGACGACGUCAAGUCAUCACGGCCUUUAUGUCCAGGGCUACACACGUGCUACAAUGGUCGGUACAGAGGGCUGCGAACCCGCGAGGGGGAGCCAAUCCCAAAAAGCCGGCCUCAGUUCGGAUUGCAGUCUGCAACUCGACUGCAUGAAGCCGGAAUCGCUAGUAAUCGCUGAUCAGCAGGCAGCGGUGAAUACGUUCCC
This 410-nucleotide ribosomal RNA is filed under the name uncultured bacterium. RNAcentral's name for it is "bacterial SSU rRNA". It matches the Rfam family "Bacterial small subunit ribosomal RNA", at positions 975 to 1375 of the family's 1533-position model. The record is from RNAcentral.